GACGAACGCUGGCGGCGUGCUUAACACAUGCAAGUCGAACGGAAAGGCUCCAGCUUGCUGGAGUACUCGAGUGGCGAACGGGUGAGUAACACGUGGGUAAUCUGCCCUGCACUCUGGGAUAAGCCUGGGAAACUGGGUCUAAUACUGGAUAUGACCUUUCUCCUUAUGGGGUUUGGUGGAAAGUUUUUCGGUGUAGGAUGAGCCCGCGGCCUACCAGCUUGUUGGUGGGGUGAUGUCCUACCAAGGCGACGACGGGUAGCCGGCCUGAGAGGGUGAUCGGCCACAUUGGGACUGAGAUACGGCCCAGACUCCUACGGGAGGCAGCAGUGGGGAAUAUUGCACAAUGGGCGGAAGCCUGAUGCAGCGACGCCGCGUGAGGGAUGACGGCCUUCGGGUUGUAAACCUCUUUCAGCAGGGACGAAGCGUAAGUGACGGUACCUGCAGAAGAAGCACCGGCUAACUAUGU
This 466-nucleotide ribosomal RNA is filed under the name uncultured bacterium. RNAcentral describes it as "partial 16S ribosomal RNA". It matches the Rfam family "Bacterial small subunit ribosomal RNA", at positions 28 to 506 of the family's 1533-position model. The record is from RNAcentral.